Long non-coding RNA from Rhododendron vialii, 1450 nucleotides. RefSeq lists it as uncharacterized. The transcript has 3 exons. Lineage: Eukaryota; Viridiplantae; Streptophyta; Magnoliopsida; Ericales; Ericaceae. The record is from RefSeq and is a predicted model, not a curated record.
GGCUAGUGGUGGCACCUUGCACCCUAGCCAACCGAUGGAAACUAAGGCAUGAGGCAGGCAUGUCUUUUCAAGGUGACCCGAUGGUGUCGGUUGGUGUCGACACUAGUCCUGUAACACCCUUUAUUUAUGAGGUGUUUUCAUGUCAUAAAUAAAAAAAUAACAGAGAGAAAACCCAAAGGGGCUUCUGUCUUCUGCGUUAGGGGAGAGAGAGAGAGAGAGAGAGAGAGAGAGAGAGAGAGAGAGAGAGAGAGAGAGAGAGAGAGAGAGAGAGAGAGAGAGAGAGAAUCGGACGGAGAAGAAGAGAGGAAGAGGAGUUAGGAUUUGAAGCCGUUUAUCUUGAAUUAAGGUAACAAGCCGGUCAAAUAGGAGGUGCCGAAACCGUAAGUUUGGUGUAUAACUCGGUCGAUGCAAAGGUAGCAGGUUGCGUAGAGUGGGUCCACUACCGGUCAACGUGUUGAGAAGUGUUUGGGCUAGCGUCAGAUGAUGUGGAUAAGCGAGUUGGUUGUAGGUAGUGAACCAAAAAGUUGAUUUUUAUAAGUAAAAAAUAUGUUGUUGGUGGAUGUGUUGAAGUUUAGAAUUUUUAAAGUAUUGUAAAACUAUAUUGUGAUUUAGUUGUGCGAGGUCAUGGUUGGUUGGUCGAUACGUCGACUCAUUUUUAUGUUAAGGUGAUAAGUCUUCCGCUGGGUGUUAUUCUGACAGGUUGUGAGGUGUGGUUCAGUUUUUGGUGUGGAAUGUCACGUGGUCGCGUCGACUCGGGCCCACAUUGGGUGCCGUUUGCGGGGCGGGGCGUGACAGCUUGGUAUCAGAGCUAGUACGAUCUAGUCUCUGUGUUGAGAGUCGAUUGGGGGUUUGGUAGUGGACCAUAUGGUGUUGUGUCUGUCGAGUAGGGGUUAGUGGGUGACUAACGUGUCCGUAUUUAAUACUUAGCACUAUGUUGUUAUUGGUGGUUUGAAUUGUUGAAACAGGUUAUUGAUAUUGCUCAGUUCAUGGAGCAGCAAAUGGUAAUUAUUCCAUGGCAGAUUGCGCUGGCACUGGCAGUGUCUUAUGUGGGUCGUGUUCUGUGUGUUAGAAUUAAAUGGACUGAAGGGUUCAUGGCAUUAUAGAGAGUAUGUGCUAAUGCGUGUCAAGGAGCCCAGGCUUUGCUGGAUAUGGUGAUAGGUAUUUUCAAUAUUGAAUGACGUUGGGUGUAGGUAACAGUAGAUGUGUGGUUAAAAUUAAUCACUCUGUUAUUAAUACUUUAUGUGCACUUAGAGUAAUUAUAUGCUUUUGUAAGAUGCGAUUUAUGUUGUAAUGAGAAGGUUGUAUUGUUAUGUGGUGUGUCAACCUUGCUAUAGUGUAGGUUAGUGGUGGGGAGACUCUUGAAAAUUGGAGCUUACAGACUAGUGAAGCUAAUUUGAAUUUGAAAUAUUAGCAUUAAAGUUGUAAGUUUUGGUGGUGAAUUUGAGGAGAC